AGAGCCGCCUGUAAGGGGUUCGCAAGUCGAGGGGCACCGUUCUCUUCGGCGCUCCUCAUCGUCCAUGUUGCUCAAGGAGGAUAUGGCUAUGAGAA
This 95-nucleotide small RNA is filed under the name Sinorhizobium medicae. Its description in RNAcentral is "ROSE". It matches the Rfam family "Repression of heat shock gene expression (ROSE) element". From Rfam's summary of the family: This family represents a 5' UTR cis-regulatory element found in heat shock mRNAs and is known as the ROSE (repression of heat shock gene expression) element. The ROSE element is a negative regulator of heat shock gene expression. The record is from RNAcentral. Lineage: Bacteria; Pseudomonadati; Pseudomonadota; Alphaproteobacteria; Hyphomicrobiales; Rhizobiaceae.